RNAcentral lists this ribosomal RNA (394 nucleotides) under uncultured bacterium. RNAcentral's name for it is "partial 16S ribosomal RNA". It matches the Rfam family "Bacterial small subunit ribosomal RNA", at positions 523 to 918 of the family's 1533-position model. The record is from RNAcentral.
AUACGUAGGGAGCGAGCGUUGUCCGGAAUUACUGGGCGUAAAGGGCGCGUAGGCGGCGCUUCAAGUCGUCUGUCAAAUGGGAGGGCUUAACCCUUUUUCGCAGACGAAACUGGAGAGCUUGAGAAGCAGAGAGGCAAACAGAAUUCCUGGUGUAGCGGUGAAAUGCGUAGAUAUCAGGAAGAAUACCAGUGGCGAAGGCGGUUUGCUGGCUGCAUACUGACGCUGAAGCGCGAAAGCCAGGGGAGCGAACGGGAUUAGAUACCCCGGUAGUCCUGGCAGUAAACGAUGUAUGCUGGGUGUGAGACUAGCGAUAGUUUCGUGCCGAAGUCAACGCGAUAAGCAUACCGCCUGGGGAGUACGGUCGCAAGAUUGAAACUUAAAGGAAUUGACGGGG